Molecule: ribosomal RNA, 1390 nt
Filed under: uncultured bacterium
Lineage: Bacteria
Description: 16S ribosomal RNA
Rfam family: Bacterial small subunit ribosomal RNA
Source: RNAcentral
AGAGUUUGAUCCUGGCUCAGGAUGAACGCUAGCGGCAGGCCUAAUACAUGCAAGUCGAACGGUAAGCGCCCUUCGGGGCGCGAGAGUGGCGCACGGGUGCGUAACGCGUAUGCAACCAACCCCCGACGGGGGCAUAGCCGGUGGAAACGCCGGAUAAUACCCCAUGGUUCCCUUGGAGGGCAUCCUGCUUGGGAUAAGGAAGCGAUUCGGUCGGGGACGGGCAUGCGUCCCAUUAGCUGGUAGGCGGGGUGACGGCCCACCUAGGCUCCGAUGGGUAGGGGAUCUGAGAGGACGGUCCCCCACACUGGUACUGAGACACGGACCAGACUCCUACGGGAGGCAGCAGUAAGGGAUAUUGGGCAAUGGGGGGAACCCUGACCCAGCCAUGCCGCGUGAGGGAAUGAGGCCCUACGGGUCGUGAACCUCUUUUGCCUGGGGAUAAACCGCCCCGCUGGACGGGGCGCUGCAGGUACCAGGCGAAUAAGCACCGGCUAACUCCGUGCCAGCAGCCGCGGUAAUACGGAGGAUGCGAGCGUUAUCCGGAUUCAUUGGGUUUAAAGGGUGCGCAGGCGGCGCGUUAAGUCAGCGGUGAAAGGCAGGGGCCCAACCCCGGCAGUGCCGUUGAUACAGGCGCGCUGGAAUGCGGUCGAGGCGGGCGGAAUGUGGCGUGUAGCGGUGAAAUGCAUAGAUAUGCCACAGAACUCCGAUAGCGAAGGCAGCUCGCCAGGCCUGCAUUGACGCUCAGGCACGAAUGCGUGGGGAUCGAACAGGAUUAGAUACCCUGGUAGUCCACGCCGUAAACGAUGGACGCUCGUCGUCGGCGGCACACGGCCGGCGGCCAAGCGAAAGUGAUAAGCGUCCCACCUGGGGAGUACGCCGGCAACGGUGAAACUCAAAGGAAUUGACGGGGGCCCGCACAAGCGGAGGAACAUGUGGUUUAAUUCGAUGAUACGCGAGGAACUUUACCCGGGCUUGAAAGUUAGCGACGGACCUUGAAAGAGGUCUUCCCUUCGGGGCGCGAAACUAGGUGCUGCAUGGUUGUCGUCAGCUCGUGCCGUGAGGUGUCGGCUUAAGUGCCAUAACGAGCGCAACCCCUGCCGCCAGUUGCCAGCGAGUAAAGUUGGGGACUCUGGCGGGACUGCCACCGCAAGGUGCGAGGAAGGCGGGGAUGACGUCAAAUCAGCACGGCCCUUACGUCCGGGGCGACACACGUGUUACAAUGGGGGGUACAGAGGGCAGCGACCUGGCGACAGGGAGCGAAUCUCAGAAAGCCCCUCUCAGUUCGGAUCGGAGUCUGCAACCCGACUCCGUGAAGCUGGAUUCGCUAGUAAUCGCGCAUCAGCCAUGGCGCGGUGAAUACGUUCCCGGGCCUUGCACUCACCGCCCGUCA